RNAcentral lists this transfer RNA (70 nucleotides) under Macaca brunnescens. RNAcentral's name for it is "tRNA-Gly". Lineage: Eukaryota; Metazoa; Chordata; Mammalia; Primates; Cercopithecidae. The record is from RNAcentral.
UACUCUUUUAGUAUAACCAGUACAGUUGACUUCCAAUCAAUCAGUUUUGAUAACAUUCAAAAAAGAGUAA